UUGAUCACACCUCGCAUAUACCAUGAUUGGAUCAAUACAUACGAGAGUAGCAUGGGCCCUGCGCUAGGAAGAAACGCAAAAUUUUGAAGAAUUCCACAUAUUG
This 103-nucleotide small nuclear RNA is filed under the name Schistocerca americana (American grasshopper). RNAcentral also lists the same sequence under 1 other name. Lineage: Eukaryota; Metazoa; Arthropoda; Insecta; Orthoptera; Acrididae. The record is from RNAcentral.